RNAcentral lists this microRNA precursor (63 nucleotides) under Macaca mulatta (Rhesus monkey). Its description in RNAcentral is "Mml-Mir-199-P3-v2_pre stem-loop". It matches the Rfam family "mir-199 microRNA precursor family", at positions 12 to 71 of the family's 80-position model. From Rfam's summary of the family: This family consists of the microRNA (miRNA) precursor mir-199 which appears to be specific to humans. Animal miRNAs are transcribed as ~70nt precursors and subsequently processed by the Dicer enzyme to give a ~22nt product. Lineage: Eukaryota; Metazoa; Chordata; Mammalia; Primates; Cercopithecidae. The record is from RNAcentral.
CCCAGUGUUCAGACUACCUGUUCAGGAGGCUCUCAACGUGUACAGUAGUCUGCACAUUGGUUA